This 506-nucleotide ribosomal RNA is filed under the name uncultured bacterium. RNAcentral's name for it is "partial 16S ribosomal RNA". It matches the Rfam family "Bacterial small subunit ribosomal RNA", at positions 30 to 523 of the family's 1533-position model. The record is from RNAcentral.
AUUGAACGCUGGCGGCAGGCCUAACACAUGCAAGUCGAACGGUAACAGGAAGCAGCUUGCUGCUUCGCUGACGGGUGGCGGACGGGUGAGUAAUGUCUGGGAAACUGCCUGAUGGAGGGGGAUAACUACUGGAAACGGUAGCUAAUACCGCAUAACGUCGCAAGACCAAAGAGGGGGACCUUCGGGCCUCUUGCCAUCGGAUGUGCCCAGAUGGGAUUAGCUAGUAGGUGGGGUAACGGCUCACCUAGGCGACGAUCCCUAGCUGGUCUGAGAGGAUGACCAGCCACACUGGAACUGAGACACGGUCCAGACUCCUACGGGAGGCAGCAGUGGGGAAUAUUGCACAAUGGGCGCAAGCCUGAUGCAGCCAUGCCGCGUGUAUGAAGAAGGCCUUCGGGUUGUAAAGUACUUUCAGCGGGGAGGAAGGCGAUAAGGUUAAUAACCUUGUCGACUGACGUUACCCGCAGAAGAAGCACCGGCUAACUCCGUGCCAGCCGCCGCAGUAA